Long non-coding RNA from Pongo pygmaeus (Bornean orangutan), 537 nucleotides. RefSeq lists it as uncharacterized. The transcript has 2 exons. The record is from RefSeq and is a predicted model, not a curated record. NCBI's taxonomy places the organism in Eukaryota, Metazoa, Chordata, Mammalia, Primates, Hominidae.
UUGUGCAGUUCUAAGCAGAUGCCAGGUGGUGCCAAUUCUGCUCCACUGGACACCACACUUAGAGCGGCGAGGUCACCAAAUAAUAGGGGUGAAAAGAUUGUGAGAACACCGACAUCAGUGAGAAAGAGGCUGGCUGCAGAGACCAUGGUCGUCUGGGCUGGAAGAAAACAAAAAGUUCUGCAGCCAGCGGUAACUGAAACCAGUGAGACUUCUGCAGCCUGUGUGUGCGCACCCAGAAACAGACCCAAAGCCAGCAGUUUCAGUUCCCUCAACUUAAUUUUACUAAUGUGAUAGAGAGGCAGCAAACAUCUGCAAGGAACCAGAAAUCCUUCCUUUACGUGCGCUGUAAUCUGAAACAGUUUCUCAACCGUGGCGCCGCUGACGUCUUGGGCUGCCUAACAGUUUGCUGACCGGGAGGCCGAGUGUCCUGUGCACUGCAGGCUGUUUAGCAGCAUCCCUGGACUCUACCCACAAGAUACCAGCAGCACUCCCAAGCUGUGACAACCCAAAAUACCUCCAGACAUUGCCAGAUGUCAA